RNAcentral lists this non-coding RNA (1396 nucleotides) under Rhodymenia pseudopalmata. RNAcentral describes it as "SSU rRNA". It matches the Rfam family "Bacterial small subunit ribosomal RNA". The record is from RNAcentral. Lineage: Eukaryota; Rhodophyta; Florideophyceae; Rhodymeniales; Rhodymeniaceae.
AGAGUUUGAUCCUGGCUCAGAGUGAACGUUUACGGUUAGCUUGACACAUGCAAAUUUUAUUAUUUUUGCUUUAUUUGUAAAAUAAAUAGUAAACGGGUGAGUAAAAUAUAGAAAUUAACCUUAAAAUAAUUGUUUGAUUCAUGAAAAAAUUAAAUUGGUUUAGGAGAAGUCUAUAAAAGAUUAGGUAGUUAAUAUUAUUCAAAAAUUUAUUAAGCCUAUGAUCUUUAGCUGGUCUUUGAGGAUGAACAGCCACAUUGGGAUUGAGAACGGCCCAAACUUUACUUAAAGGCAGCAGUGCGGAAUCUUGGGCAAUGAGCGAAAGCUUGACCCAGCUAAACCAUAUUUGUGAAGAAAGUGUAUAGCUUUAAAACAUUUUAAAUAAACAAAAUGAUGACUGUUUAUAUAUAAGUCCUGGCUAAUUUCGUGCCAGCAGCCGCGGUAAAACGAGGAGGGCAAACGUUACUCAAAUUAAUUGGGCGUAAAGGAUACGUAGGUGGAAGAUUAAAUUUCAAUUUAAAAUUAAUGUUUUAUUUAUUAAAUGGUUGUUAAACUAAUUUUCUAGAGUUUAGAAGAAGGUUAUAGAAUUUUGAAUGUAACAGUAAAAUGUUUUAAUAUUUGAAGGAAUCUCAAAAGCGAAAGCAGUUAUCUAUUUUAAAACUGACAUUGAGGUAUUAAAGUGUGGGUAGCAAAAGGGAUUAGAUACCCCUGUAGUCCACACCCUGAACUAUGAGUGCGAAUUUUUUAAUUGUUAAAAAUAUAGCUAACGCGUUUAGCACUUCGCCUGGGAACUACGAUCGCAAGGUUAAAACUCAAAGGAAUUGACGGGGACCUACACAAGCAGUGGAGCAUGUGGUUUAAAGCGAAAAUACGCGUGAAACCUUACCAAUUUUUGCAUAGUUGUUAAAUUAUAAUUACAGGUGUUGCAUGGUUGUCGUCAGUCCGUGCUGUGAGGCGUUUGGUUUAUUCCAACAAACGGACGAAACUUUUUUAAGUUUUUAUACUAACUUAAAUUAUUUUUUAAGGAUAUCUUAAAGGAAGUAAAACAACGUCAAGUCUUCAUGACCCUAAUAAAUUGGGCUACUUUCAUGUGCUACAAUAAUUUUUUCAAUACGAAGCGAAAUUGUAAGAUUUAGCAAAUCUUAAAAUAAAAUUAUGUGCAAAUUGCUUUCUGAAACUUGAAAGCAUGAAGUUGGAAUUGCUAGUAAUCGUAAAUAAGAACGUUACGGUGAAUUCGUUCUUAGGUCUUGUACACACCGCCCGUCACGCUAUGGAAAUUUAUUUUAUUUGAAAAUUAUAAUUAAUAUAAUUCACGGUAAAAAAAAGACUGGAGUGAAGUCGUAACAAGGUAGCCGUAGGGGAACCUGUGGCUGGAAAAUUUAAUAAUACGUCUACUAUC